UUAACUCAAAUUUGUAUGGAGUGGGAACGUUUGCCUACGCUUACCGUUAGGGGCGCUGUUCCAACUGCAUACAAACUUGAGUUA
Bombyx mori (domestic silkworm) is the source of this 84-nucleotide non-coding RNA. Lineage: Eukaryota; Metazoa; Arthropoda; Insecta; Lepidoptera; Bombycidae. The record is from Rfam.